RNAcentral lists this long non-coding RNA (538 nucleotides) under Phasianus colchicus (ring-necked pheasant). Its description in RNAcentral is "lncRNA (ENSPCLG00000004941.1)". The record is from RNAcentral. Lineage: Eukaryota; Metazoa; Chordata; Aves; Galliformes; Phasianidae.
CCAGCUUCUGUCUGUCUGGCUUUGGUUGAGAAAUUAAUGUCUGUAUUGAGGGAUCUCCUUGGAAAUCACCAGGAUGCUAAAGAUAGCCAAUAGCAUGUAAAUCAAGCCUAAAGCAAACACGCUGCUCCUCUCUAGUGAGGAGAUGAUCCAGUGAGAAGAUAGAUCACCUCGCCCUGUAUUUCUCUCUGCAUUGUGAGACUCCAUGCAGCAGCCAUUUGUCCGCCAGAAGGAUGAAGAUGGCAGACUGCAGUCCGACAGCUCUUAAAGACAGCGGUUUCACUGUUUGACAUGUUUGGCCAAGAUUUUGCCCCAGGAGGACCCACAGCCAAAAUCCUACAGACACAUGGGACGGUAUUUGCUGUUGAGAAGAUCUUGCCAUCUAAACAUAUCAGACAACGUAAGAAGAGGAAUGGAAUCACAUUAGGGGAUAAUGAUUUGUCCAUGCUCUGAAAGAACUCCUUGGCAUCAAAUUAAGCCCAGAUCUCUGCCUAAGCCCUUACUGUCAGUUAGCCAAACAGAUAUGGAAAGACUAAUAAAG